GGGUUGUGAGGUUAAGCGACUAAGCGUACACGGUGGAUGCCCUGGCAGUCAGAGGCGAUGAAGGACGUGCUAAUCUGCGAUAAGCGCCGGUAAGGUGAUAUGAACCGUUAUAACCGGCGAUUUCCGAAUGGGGAAACCCAGUGUGACUCGUCACACUAUCAUUAACUGAAUCCAUAGGUUAAUGAGGCGAACCGGGGGAACUGAAACAUCUAAGUACCCCGAGGAAAAGAAAUCAACCGAGAUUCCCCCAGUAGCGGCGAGCGAACGGGGAGGAGCCCAGAGCCUGAAUCAGCAUGUGUGUUAGUGGAAGCGUCUGGAAAGGCGCGCGAUACAGGGUGACAGCCCCGUACACAAAAGCGCAUGUGCUGUGAGCUCGAUGAGUAGGGCGGGACACGUGGUAUCCUGUCUGAAUAUGGGGGGACCAUCCUCCAAGGCUAAAUACUCCUGACUGACCGAUAGUGAACCAGUACCGUGAGGGAAAGGCGAAAAGAACCCCGGCGAGGGGAGUGAAAAAGAACCUGAAACCGUGUACGUACAAGCAGUGGGAGCACAGGUUUACCUGUGUGACUGCGUACCUUUUGUAUAAUGGGUCAGCGACUUAUAUUCUGUAGCAAGGUUAACCGUAUAGGGGAGCCGGAGGGAAACCGAGUCUUAACCGGGCGUUAAGUUGCAGGGUAUAGACCCGAAACCCGGUGAUCUAGCCAUGGGCAGGUUGAAGGUUGGGUAACACUAACUGGAGGACCGAACCGACUAAUGUUGAAAAAUUAGCGGAUGACCUGUGGCUGGGGGUGAAAGGCCAAUCAAACCGGGAGAUAGCUGGUUCUCCCCGAAAGCUAUUUAGGUAGCGCCUCGUGAAUUCAUCUCCGGGGGUAGAGCACUGUUUCGGCUAGGGGGCCAUCCCGGCUUACCAACCCGAUGCAAACUGCGAAUACCGGAGAAUGUUAUCACGGGAGACACACGGCGGGUGCUAACGUCCGUCGUGAAGAGGGAAACAACCCAGACCGCCAGCUAAGGUCCCAAAGUCAUGGUUAAGUGGGAAACGAUGUGGGAAGGCCCAGACAGCCAGGAUGUUGGCUUAGAAGCAGCCAUCAUUUAAAGAAAGCGUAAUAGCUCACUGGUCGAGUCGGCCUGCGCGGAAGAUGUAACGGGGCUAAACCAUGCACCGAAGCUGCGGCAGCGAACGUAUCACCCAAGACAACUUUACGGAGUUGACGAUUGACGGAGCGAAGCGACGUCAAAGCGUUCAUUAAAGUCGAGUUGGCUUAGGGAUACGUUCGUUGGGUAGGGGAGCGUUCUGUAAGCCUGUGAAGGUGUGUCGUGAGGCAUGCUGGAGGUAUCAGAAGUGCGAAUGCUGACAUAAGUAACGAUAAAGCGGGUGAAAAGCCCGCUCGCCGGAAGACCAAGGGUUCCUGUCCAACGUUAAUCGGGGCAGGGUGAGUCGACCCCUAAGGCGAGGCCGAAAGGCGUAGUCGAUGGGAAACGGGUUAAUAUUCCCGUACUUGGUGUUACUGCGAAGGGGGGACGGAGAAGGCUAUGUUGGCCGGGCGACGGUUGUCCCGGUUUAAGCGUGUAGGUGUGUGUUCCAGGUAAAUCCGGUUCACUUUAACACUGAGGCGUGACGACGAGGCACUACGGUGCUGAAGCAACAAAUGCCCUGCUUCCAGGAAAAGCCUCUAAGCAUCAGGUAACAUCAAAUCGUACCCCAAACCGACACAGGUGGUCAGGUAGAGAAUACCAAGGCGCUUGAGAGAACUCGGGUGAAGGAACUAGGCAAAAUGGUGCCGUAACUUCGGGAGAAGGCACGCUGACACGUAGGUGAAGUGAUUUACUCAUGGAGCUGAAGUCAGUCGAAGAUACCAGCUGGCUGCAACUGUUUAUUAAAAACACAGCACUGUGCAAACACGAAAGUGGACGUAUACGGUGUGACGCCUGCCCGGUGCCGGAAGGUUAAUUGAUGGGGUCAGCGCAAGCGAAGCUCCUGAUCGAAGCCCCGGUAAACGGCGGCCGUAACUAUAACGGUCCUAAGGUAGCGAAAUUCCUUGUCGGGUAAGUUCCGACCUGCACGAAUGGCGUAAUGAUGGCCAGGCUGUCUCCACCCGAGACUCAGUGAAAUUGAACUCGCUGUGAAGAUGCAGUGUACCCGCGGCAAGACGGAAAGACCCCGUGAACCUUUACUAUAGCUUGACACUGAACAUUGAGCCUUGAUGUGUAGGAUAGGUGGGAGGCUUUGAAGUGUGGACGCCAGUCUGCAUGGAGCCGACCUUGAAAUACCACCCUUUAAUGUUUGAUGUUCUAACGUGGACCCGUAAUCCGGGUUGCGGACAGUGUCUGGUGGGUAGUUUGACUGGGGCGGUCUCCUCCUAAAGAGUAACGGAGGAGCACGAAGGUUGGCUAAUCCUGGUCGGACAUCAGGAGGUUAGUGCAAUGGCAUAAGCCAGCUUGACUGCGAGCGUGACGGCGCGAGCAGGUGCGAAAGCAGGUCAUAGUGAUCCGGUGGUUCUGAAUGGAAGGGCCAUCGCUCAACGGAUAAAAGGUACUCCGGGGAUAACAGGCUGAUACCGCCCAAGAGUUCAUAUCGACGGCGGUGUUUGGCACCUCGAUGUCGGCUCAUCACAUCCUGGGGCUGAAGUAGGUCCCAAGGGUAUGGCUGUUCGCCAUUUAAAGUGGUACGCGAGCUGGGUUUAGAACGUCGUGAGACAGUUCGGUCCCUAUCUGCCGUGGGCGCUGGAGAACUGAGGGGGGCUGCUCCUAGUACGAGAGGACCGGAGUGGACGCAUCACUGGUGUUCGGGUUGUCAUGCCAAUGGCACUGCCCGGUAGCUAAAUGCGGAAGAGAUAAGUGCUGAAAGCAUCUAAGCACGAAACUUGCCCCGAGAUGAGUUCUCCCUGAGACUUUAGGUCUCCUGAAGGAACGUUGAAGACGACGACGUUGAUAGGCCGGGUGUGUAAGCGCAGCGAUGCGUUGAGCUAACCGGUACUAAUGAACCGUGAGGCUUAACCUUACAACGCCGAAG
This 3013-nucleotide ribosomal RNA is filed under the name Salmonella enterica. Its description in RNAcentral is "bacterial LSU rRNA". It matches the Rfam family "Bacterial large subunit ribosomal RNA". Lineage: Bacteria; Pseudomonadati; Pseudomonadota; Gammaproteobacteria; Enterobacterales; Enterobacteriaceae. The record is from RNAcentral.